Molecule: non-coding RNA, 100 nt
Filed under: Thalassiosira minuscula
Lineage: Eukaryota; Bacillariophyta; Thalassiosirophyceae; Thalassiosirales; Thalassiosiraceae
Source: RNAcentral
UUUUUUUUUUUUUUUUUUUUUUUUUUUUAUUUUACAACAUUCUCCCUUUAGAAAAUUAGAGAAGUAGUGUGAAUUGUCACCAUAGAUAUAAAUAAGAUUU